CAGUAGCCGCGGUAAUACGUAGGGUGCGAGCGUUAAUCGGAAUUACUGGGCGUAAAGCGUGCGCAGGCGGUUGUGUAAGACAGGUGUGAAAUCCCCGGGCUUAACCUGGGAACUGCGCUUGUGACUGCACAGCUAGAGUAUGGCAGAGGGGGGUGGAAUUCCACGUGUAGCAGUGAAAUGCGUAGAGAUGUGGAGGAACACCGAUGGCGAAGGCAGCCCCCUGGGCCAAUACUGACGCUCAUGCACGAAAGCGUGGGGAGCAAACAGGAUUAGAGACCCCAGUAGUCCCUGUCUCUUAUAA
Molecule: ribosomal RNA, 301 nt
Filed under: uncultured bacterium
Lineage: Bacteria
Description: partial 16S ribosomal RNA
Rfam family: Bacterial small subunit ribosomal RNA
Source: RNAcentral